GAUGAAGAACGUAGCGAAAUGCGAUAAGUAAUGUGAAUUGCAGAAUUCAGUGAAUCAUCGAAUCUUUGAACGCACCUUGCACUCCUUGGUAUUCCGAGGAGUACGCCUGUUCGAGUGUUAUGAAGCUCUCAAAACGCAAUUGGCUUAAAACCUGAUUGUUGUUUUGGAUUUGAACUUUGCCGUGUUAUAACGGCUGGUUUUAAAAGUAUUAGCUGGUACUAGAACGAAUUGGUUCUACUCAACGUGAUAAUUACCUGAUCGUUGAGGACAUUCCUUUCACGAGGAAUGGCCAUAGUAAAUUCAAUGGACUGCUUCUAAUCUGGCUUUAAUUCUUUAUUGGAUUAACCACUUUUCAAAUCUGACCUCGAAUCAGGUGGGACUACCCGCUGAACUUAAGCAUAUCAAUAAGCGGAGGA
RNAcentral lists this unclassified non-coding RNA (416 nucleotides) under soil metagenome. RNAcentral's name for it is "partial contains 5.8S ribosomal RNA, internal transcribed spacer 2, and large subunit ribosomal RNA". The stretch from base 1 to 120 matches the Rfam family "5.8S ribosomal RNA", at positions 35 to 154 of the family's 154-position model. The record is from RNAcentral.